CUCAGGGCCGCCACUCAUCGUGAUUGCGACGGAAGAACAACGUAACUCGUGUCUGGAUGAAUGGACAAGAGAGGCAAGUCGUUAAUGGAUCAGGCUCUUCUCCAGUCAGAAGUGAGAAGCGACGAGCGCGCAAGGCUGAGGGAACGAAUGCGGGUCCAGCUGUGAACGUGUUAUAAGGUCCUUUUUUGCGAGAUGUUGAACUUCCGAGUAUACGAGGAAGUACGGAAUAAGCAUGAGUCCUACUACUACCAACUUAUCAGACAUCGUCUAAAGUCAGACGCGUGCGAUUGGACCAAAUGCCAUAAGUGGAACAUGGGAACAGUCCGGAUUUCUGGUCCACAAUCACGUCGCGCAUGUCGGCCUCGUCAAUGAAUAGAUAACGAAGGAGAAUGAGCUAGUUGAGUCGGUUUGAUACAUCGGCGACAUCGCCGCAACAUUCAUCUGCAUAAUUCAUUCUUAUCAGUACGAUUCCCUCAAGCAGAGAUUCUCAACCGAUACGGCA
Molecule: long non-coding RNA, 502 nt
Organism: Vespa velutina
Lineage: Eukaryota; Metazoa; Arthropoda; Insecta; Hymenoptera; Vespidae
Exons: 4
Source: RefSeq, a predicted model, not a curated record